GGAUCCGUUGAAAGUUCCUCUGCUGAGCAAAUCCAGAGCACAUUUACAUGUUGUACCACUACAAGCUUUUCUCUGCAGGGUUAAACUGCUAAAUUAGUGAACAAAAGAGCAGAGGGUGCGCGUUACAGAACCGCGCAUAUUGCUUCUUAUCGGCCGGCUGUUUGUUGACACAGCUGUGUAUGCAGGCAGCGGUCACCUGUAGAAAGGGCAGGACACCACAACAUGUAACUCUUAGGCGUGAACGAGUCCCCUAGUGUGAGAUGACGCCUCCCCUCCCGGGCCGACAGCUGAGGGCGCGCUUCAACUGGCACGAGCCAUCUGCCUGGAGACCUGCGGAACAAGGUGUCGCUGCACAAUGAGACGAUCCAAGAGCCACGGCUGACGGUGUGUAUAGGAAGAGGAAUUUAAGGUUUGAUAUUCACGCAGAACGUGUGUGUCCCCAGUGACUUAAUCAGCUGCAGGAGCUAUCAGCCGAGUUUCUGUCCACAGAGUAAAGCGCUUCGCCUCACGCGUCUCUUCAGAGAGGCCAUUUGCUCAGAUUGAGGGCCGGGACACUGAGCUUUCUCUGCUCAUCAUCCCACAGGCGGUUGGAGGGGCCGCGCCUCCGGCGUGUCCGCACGGUUGUGCAGAGGGUUGAAUGCAGGGAGCCCGGCCAGCGUGUUACAUUACGCAUUAUCAGUAUUCAUGAAAUUGAACCCGUGGCGGAUAAACCCCCUCUGUCCUCCUUGAUCCGUUCACAUCUGGGGAGCGCGUUAGGCCAAAGGAGCCUCCACGUACUAAUUGCUUUACGUUUGCAUAGAUGUGCGGCUUCCCGACGGCAGGAGUGUGGUCAGGAAGCCGAAUCCAGUCACAGCUCAGUGUGGGAAAGGUCACGACCUCGGGAGGCGGGUUGCGAACCCCAUCGGUGAGGGAAAACGUCCGGGGCCGUGGGACGAGGACUCUACCGGCUUAUUCCACAUUUCUUUGCUAUUCAUCGAUCCCCCUCAUUAAAUUUCUUUGCCAUGACUUUGAUUGUCAUACCACCGGGUGGGAAAUAAGGAAUAAAGGCAAACAUCACAGACGGAUAUCAGAUCGGCCUGUUCCCUGCGGAGAUGUUACUUGGCUCUGCUCUUGACGAACGAAUAACAGGCCGAGAAUCCUUUUGACUUCGGUGCCCCUGACGGUCCGUCCCGGCUCUUUUGAUUGCGCUCAGCAGGCAGGUGCUAUUCUGCACGGCCUCAGAGGCCUCAAGCCGCUGCAUGUGGUGACUCGGAAAGGUGCGACCUUCAGAUACCUGCGGGCUUUUUGCGAUGUGAGCGCUCGGAGGUGGGCUGCCUGGCUGGUCAACACUUCAAUAGACACCUGCAGCUUUCCCUUUCGGGCCAUCUCAUUCCCUCUUUUUUGGUUCACUGGAGAGUUAUUGCAAGG
Molecule: long non-coding RNA, 1407 nt
Organism: Gasterosteus aculeatus aculeatus (three-spined stickleback)
Lineage: Eukaryota; Metazoa; Chordata; Actinopteri; Perciformes; Gasterosteidae
Source: Ensembl